Hyaena hyaena (striped hyena) is the source of this 306-nucleotide long non-coding RNA. RefSeq lists it as uncharacterized. Lineage: Eukaryota; Metazoa; Chordata; Mammalia; Carnivora; Hyaenidae. The transcript is spliced from 3 exons. The record is from RefSeq and is a predicted model, not a curated record.
CGUGAUGGCACUGUGAAGUAUGCUUCCUUCUGGAAGCAGAUUUUCCAGCCAGACUUGCCAAAGACAACCUUCAGACACUUGUCUGUAGUUAAGGGGCUGUAGAAUACGCAUAUAAGAAGUCGGCUUCCACUGGGAUUUUCUGACAGGCAAUGUCAUCCUCGGUACCACUGUCAGUCUCAAUGCCACAGUCCAGUUCUGUGCCUCGACAGGCCUAGAGGUCAAGAGGUCCAUUUGUUCCAUAAAUGAUUCCUUCAUCACCGUGGCUUAGAAGCACGCAAACAAAACUGCUCCUCUUGCUAUGAUCUU